RNAcentral lists this transfer RNA (77 nucleotides) under Acidobacteriota bacterium. RNAcentral describes it as "Acidobacteria bacterium (groundwater metagenome) tRNA-Arg". It matches the Rfam family "tRNA". Rfam says of the family: Transfer RNA (tRNA) molecules are approximately 80 nucleotides in length. The record is from RNAcentral. RNAcentral also lists the same sequence under 1 other name. Lineage: Bacteria; Pseudomonadati; Acidobacteriota.
GGGCCCGUAGCUCAACUGGAUAGAGCAUCGGAUUUCUAAUCCGAGGGUUGGGUGUUCGAGUCACCCCGGGCCCACCA